Molecule: long non-coding RNA, 383 nt
Organism: Suncus etruscus (white-toothed pygmy shrew)
Lineage: Eukaryota; Metazoa; Chordata; Mammalia; Eulipotyphla; Soricidae
Exons: 2
Source: RefSeq, a predicted model, not a curated record
UUUUCUUGUCACUAAAUUUCCUUCUGGAGAACCUAGUACUAAAUACGAAUGAAAAAAUAUGCAUAGGAUUAUUUUGCAGCCACCACUGAGUAUAUAAAUAAUGAUUUUUUUUUCUAAUAGUGAUGCUAAUGUUUCCCCUAUUCUGCCAUUUCUUUGUAAUCAGGGUCCAAAUCUUGUUGCUUCAAGUCAAGCUACCUUAGGCUAAACUACAAGCAUCUCAGGCCAUUCUGAGAAUAUUAAAAAGAAAAUGAAUGGAAGAUACAGAGCUUAUUCACUUGUUUUUCAGUUGCUGUAAAACAAAAAGGUCCUGUCUAAAUAACACAAAUCUGUUCACACAUCUUUCCUUUUCCUUUGGGUUGCAAUUAAUAAAAAAGUAAAAAUAA